Papaver somniferum (opium poppy) is the source of this 603-nucleotide long non-coding RNA. RefSeq lists it as uncharacterized. The record is from RefSeq and is a predicted model, not a curated record. Lineage: Eukaryota; Viridiplantae; Streptophyta; Magnoliopsida; Ranunculales; Papaveraceae. The transcript is spliced from 3 exons.
GCAGGAUGUUGUGAUGAAAGUACUUUUGAACUUUUAGUAUUCAGAAGACUUGCUAAUGCAACAUUCCAUCAGACAGAGGUCUAUACAUUUGCUGGAGUUCGUUGUAAAUCUGUUGCCGAAGUUUCAGAUUUUUGUCAUCUAUAAAAUUGGUUAAAUUUCUGUGCCCAAGUGCAUAUUAAAUAUCAAGGUAUCACUGAUGAAGAGGCUGAGGCAUCCAAACGUGGUACUCUUUAUGGGUAGCCCAAAAUGCCGCCCAACAUUCAAGGAAGUGCUUGAAAAGUUGAAAGCUAUGCUGAGACAUAAUUUUUGUUCAAAAGACAACAUGUAUACGACCUUGCUGCCUUUCUGUCAGUAAAGAGAUGAGUUGGUAAUGGUGAAUCUAAGAUACUUGUUAUAGUAUAUCAACUACUGCUUUGUAAUAAUGGUAAGUGAAUACUAGUAAGUCUCUACAAGCAUUCAGAGAAAUAGUGUAUUCUUCGUGCUUGGUGUUUGUUUGCAUCAAGUCAUGCUCAAAAAUCGCAGUCCCUUUAAAAUGAAGAAUCAAGGAAUAACUUCACUGUAAAUCUGCAAAGAAAAUGAUGUUCCCGGUGUAUGAAGGAUGGA